This 77-nucleotide transfer RNA is filed under the name Alkalimonas amylolytica. RNAcentral's name for it is "tRNA_Arg_ACG". It matches the Rfam family "tRNA". Rfam says of the family: Transfer RNA (tRNA) molecules are approximately 80 nucleotides in length. Their secondary structure includes four short double-helical elements and three loops (D, anti-codon, and T loops). The record is from RNAcentral. Lineage: Bacteria; Pseudomonadati; Pseudomonadota; Gammaproteobacteria. RNAcentral also lists the same sequence under 20 other names.
GGACGCGUAGCUCAGCUGGAUAGAGUACUCGGCUACGAACCGAGCGGUCGGAGGUUCGAAUCCUCCCGCGUCCGCCA